Molecule: ribosomal RNA, 351 nt
Filed under: Triticum aestivum (bread wheat)
Lineage: Eukaryota; Viridiplantae; Streptophyta; Magnoliopsida; Poales; Poaceae
Description: partial small subunit ribosomal RNA
Source: RNAcentral
AUGGACGGCUACUUGCCAAAUAUAAUCCAGGAUGAUUAUCAUGCAUCCUCAGAUGCCUGCUCAUUGCCAGCUUGCAUGUGUACAUGGGACAAAGUCAGUUUUUAUCUGACAAAGAUAUCGCAGAGUGCUUUAUUUCUAAUACAGCUUCAGCGCACACGGAGAUUGGGCGAAACAGCACCCCCCCCUCUGCUGGCCAUGCCUCUCCGCAGCCUCGGGCCUCACCUCCGGACCGCUGGUGACAGCAAAGGCAAAAACGAGGAGCGUGAUGAGCAUUACGCCAGCAUGGCGAAGAGGUACAAAGCAAGGAGCUGGCGGCGGCUCCAUCGCCGACGAAGCCUGCCAGGAGGAUGA